Long non-coding RNA from Neofelis nebulosa (Clouded leopard), 5905 nucleotides. RefSeq lists it as uncharacterized. The record is from RefSeq and is a predicted model, not a curated record. The transcript has 2 exons. NCBI's taxonomy places the organism in Eukaryota, Metazoa, Chordata, Mammalia, Carnivora, Felidae.
UCUCUCUCUCUCUCUCUCUCUCUCUCUCAAAAAAAAAAAAAAAAAGUGGGCAUCUUGUCAUAUAUUUAAGGGUAGACUAGAAACUCUUUAAGGCUCAGAACCCAAGGUGCGGACUUCACAUACUGCUCACACUAACAGGUGCCCCUGCCCUGUACUUGUUAAAUGAGUAAAGGAAAAAACUGGUCGGACCUCUACCGGACUCAUCAUGUUGGGACUGUUGUGAAACCGGUCACCAUGACAGUUGACUCAUGUCCCAGUGUGGGCAGUGCCAGACGCCUGGCUGGGAGCUAGUGAAAAAGAAGAGGAGACGGGUCUCCCCCCCUGCCAACACUCCCCCUCCCCCCCAGAACAGGUAGAAGACCCUUCUCUCCCCGUGGAACGUAGUAAGAGUACAGCUUUAUGAGUCCAGAGAUAUCCACAGAGCCAUUGCAAUGCAUGACACAAUGCCCCCUUUACCCUAGUAGAAUUGUCUCUAGUAUUUUUUUUUUAAUGUUUGUUUAUCAUUGAGGAGGGGGAGGGGAAGAGAGGGAGGGAGACACAGAAUCCAAAUCAGGCUCCAGGCUCUGAGCUGUCAGCACAGAGCCCGAUGCGUGGCUCAGAUCCACGAUUGGAACCGUGAGAUCAUGACCUGAGCUGAAGUUGGAUGCUUAACUGACUGAGCCACCCAGGCGCCCCUCUAGUAUUUAUACUAUUUGUUAAAUAUGUCGGCACGAACAUGGUAAGACUUUUUUUCCUUCCUUUUUUUUUUUUUAAGUGUAUUUAUUUGAGAGAAAGAGUCCAAGUGGGUAAGGGGCAGAGAGAGGGAGAGACAGAAUCCCAAGCAGUCUCCGCACUAUCAGUGCAGAGCCCAAUGCAGGGCUCGAACUCACAAACUAUCAGAUCUGAGCCAAGAUCAAGAAUUGGGUGCCCCUCUUCACAUAUAUUUUAGAUUUCAUUCUAUUCUACACCAAAACAUGCAGAGCUUGCUUGAACUUUUUCACAGUACAGUGUCCUUCAUAUACUGUAACUUACUUUACCGGUACCUUAGUGAUAGACAUUUAGGCUGUUUAUAGUCUUUGCUAUUACAAAUGGUAAGAUAAGAAAUAACCUUAUGUAUGUUCUUUUAGACAUACAAGUGUGUCGGCAGGAUAAAUUUCUAGAUGUGGACCAAAAGGGAUAUGUGCAUUUGUAAUUUUGACAAAUAAUGCCCAUUUGGUGUCCUUGGAGCUGUACCAGUUUACAUCCAGCAGGGUGGGACUGUGGGGGAGGAUCCUGGGCUGCCAUCCCCCUGAGAGCAUGUGGGCGGCGGGGGCCGGGGGGGGGGGUGUAGCCAGAUGGCCCUUUGCACUCUGUAUGGGAUGAUCAUCUCUGCCCUGCACCUAAGCGGACCUCGGAUGAGCGCUCUGCGGGCAGGCCCAGUGGAGGCACAGGCUUCGAAACGGGAAGUGAAACAGAGCCCGCUUUGACAGCUUCUGAAGUUUGACAGCUCUGAUGCCCUCCCUGCUGAGCAGGCUCUAGAAAAAGACGGCUCCUGCCAUCAAGGCCACACAACCCCCAGGAGAAGCGACUUAGACAGGGACCAGAUUUCAUUCGUCCGACACAUAAACAAUCCUCACAGGCUGGACAGGACCAACAGCCCAAACAGGAGGCAUGAGUACCUACUACGUAGCCAACCCUGGGCUCGACACACAGCACCAGGAUGAGGCAGUCUCUAGCGGAGGCAGUGAGAUGUAUUGUGGCAAUGAGACGUGCCCUCAUAAAAUAUAAACAGAGAAAUCCUUAACUCUUCUUGGGGAAGGCUGCCCCGAGAAACGGCAUGUGGUCAAGGGCAGGACUUGCAGGUCUGGAAGCCAGCAGAACCUCUCCGCGAGGUGGAGGCAUCUGCCCCAGAGGAGGUUUCUGGGAAGUGCCUUUUCCUUCAAGAGACUAAGGACCACAGCAGAGCUCAGGAAGGACCCGGGACCCUGUCCACCUUCCGUCCUCCCUGCUCGUUCUGAAAUACUUAGCUACGGGGCCGUCUUCGGGAAGUCCGCGUGCACUCCUGUCCUGUGGCUCUGUUCGCAUUAGCUCCAGGCCCCCCUCUCCCACCAGGAAGCCCUCGGAGCUGAGGCACCGGAGCUCCAACUGUCCGCAUCUGCCAUGACUGGCACGGAGUUGUUUUCUAGUGUAGCACUCGGCUGAACGAACUAUGGAGAACACAGGCCGUCAUGUUGACGAUCCCGUAAGUCCUGGAGGUGGAGCUGACCCCAAACCACGUCAAGCUGCCACUGCUGUGGCCUCAUUCCACCUCUGGACCCUUUCGGAGACAUGUUCCUUUCCCGGAUUUACUUGAGUUUCUUGGCAAAUUAGCUCCUUAAGCCUGACGUUACCGGUGCGUUUGUCUGAGUUUGAGGGUGGAAAAAUGCCGCCACACCUGAGUCACUAGAGAAUGAAUCAGUGUGGCCUUCAUCGGUGGGUGUGGCACUGGUCGUCACUGUGGCAGCUGGGGACGGCAGAAUGGGGACAGAGGGACAUGGGAAAUGUGAGGGCAGAGGGUGGGCCGUCCUCCUCUUUGCAUCUCCUCCUCAUGAUCUCUCCCUUGACGUCUGGCAGCGUGACACCGGCCGUUUGCGAAGUUCUCGGGAACCUCCCGGACACUGCUCUGCCUCGGCUCUCCUGCCACUCGGCCACUGUCCCUUCUCCUUUGCUGGUCUUCCACCUUCUAGAGAGGAUUUCCCGAGCGCCGUCUUUGGUCUUGUCACGCCACCUCCCUGUCUCUCUUCACCCCCUGAGAACCCCUCCAUGCGCAUGGGCUCAGCUGUCGCUUCUGUGCAGGCGAUCCCCCCUGCCCUGGAUGCCACCUCUCCCUGACCUCGCCACUGGACUUGACCUCUAAGUUGCCGCUGCCUACUGGAUGUUUCCUUUUGGGAGUCCUGUCAUCGUCUUAAACUGAACAGGCAUGAAAUCGAGCUUGCUCCUCCUCCCAGAUUCCAGUCUUCUGCCCAUGGCAUCAGCCUUCUCUCACGCACCCGUGCUCAAAUCCUGAGUCAUCUUCGACGCCUCCUCCCCACUCCUCCCUUCCCAAACGCAGGCCUUGCCACCUGCCUUUGCAACAUCUCUUGUUGCUCUCUGUCCUUUGCAUUCUGACUGCUAGCCCAGCAUCUCAGCACCCAUGUCCCGAAUAUUUAAUAGCUUCUGCUGUGGUCUCCCUGCCUGCACUUUCUUCCCUGCGAGUCUUUCUUCCUACCUGGCCAGACAGAUUCUCCGGAAUGAUUAUUUUUUAUCCUAUUUUUCUCUUGCUCAACAACCUUCAGGCGCUGUCUUCACUGUGGAUAAGUGCAGAUUCCUUCACCUCAGGCUCCAGGCCCACGUUUGGCCCCAGCCCUACUUGCUGGCGUUAUCCCACAUGACGUGAGUGCAGGCAUCAGAUUCCGUCCCCGACACUUACGUGCUGUGUGACCCUUGGGCAAGUACUUAACCUCACUGUGCCUGAAUCUCUUCCUCAAAGUCUCUUUAUAAAGAUUUUAGCAUCUGAGAGGAUAAACAGCACUUAGAACAGUCUGGGUAUGGAGUAGGCACUGAAAUGCUAGCUGUUUAGUGCACCGAUUCUCAUCAACCAAGUGCUGCAAUCUGCACGCCCUCCCCUGGGCGCACACGUCCGCCUCUCCUUGUUACCUUUGCUCUCAGCCCCGUCCCUCAAUCUAGAAUGCUCUUCUCCGCCCCUCUCCUCUUACUCACCCUUCAUGGGCCCCUGACCUCCCAUUUUGCUUCUGAUAAACGUCUCUUUGCCACUUCCUGCAGGGCUGCUCCGCCUGGUUGGGUGGUGCUGGGCGUGUCGAGAGCCAGCCGCAGGCCACUCUCGGCACAUCUUCCUGGAGGGGUCGUUUUACUUGACAAGUGAGUUCACCCAUUUGUAAUGCUACAGCAGCUACCUCAGUAAUAUCAUGGAGUAGAACGCAAGACUGGCAGAAGGUUUUGAAGCAAACAGAUGCAACUAGUAAGGAUACUCAGGGGCGCCUGGGUGACUCGGUCAGUUAAGCGUCCGAUUUCGGCUCGGGUCAUGAUCUCACAGCUCGUGAGUUCCAGCCCCGCGUCGGGCUCUGCGCUGACAGCUCAGAGCCUGGAGCCUGCUUCGGAUUCUCUCUCUCUGUCUCUCUCAAAAAUAAAGAAACAAACAAACAUUUUUUAAAAAGAAUAUUCAGAGUGGAGGUGUCUCAGGCCACCCCCCAGCUGCGGUAGGGGGUCUUCAUUCAUUCUGCAGCGGAAGGGGUGAGGUGCUAAAGUGAGGCAGGGACAGCCAGUGUAGCGGGAGGUGGCUGUCUCUGUGCUCAGGGUCCCCACAAUGAGGGUCCUUUUAAGUGCAGGGCUCUCUCCUUCCUGAAGACUCAGUGUCUAUACCACUCCCAAUUGCCCCAAAGUAGCCUGUAUAUUGUUUUCUUAACUUUCCACAUGGGUAGAUCUCAUCUCUCCAUCUCGCCCUCAGCACCCAGGGCGCAGGCCCAGCGGGGUGCGGGCGUUGGGUAACGCACUGCGGGAGGCAGCCCCAGGUGUGAGUCCGGCCCCGGGGUUUACUGACGGAGUAAGUUGCUUUUCUCUCCAGCCUCCUUAUCUGUCAACUGUGGCUCAUACUUACCUAGUGAGAGUGUUUUGAGUCACUCCAGUCAACUAGAUAAGGAAUGUGCAGCUUUCAGCUCAGCAGAUGGCACGCAGGGCACUUAGUAAACAUCAGACCCCUCCGAGCUACGUGAGGCUCUCAGCAAACAUUGGAUUCUCGAAUGUUCCCACUGAUAACUAUACCUUCCCACCUGCAUCUACACCCACAUCCUUGGCCUCCCUUCCUGUCACGCUGGAUGCUCCUACCUGAGGCCAGCCUCUCCCUGGGUACUCGUCCUGGCCCUUGUCGCUUUCACAAAGGCCUCAUAUGACUGCUGUCUCUGUCUCCUGCGGCAUCAGUACCCUCCCCGUUUGCUCACUGUCUUCACUGGGUGAUCAUGCUGUGGUGUCACUCUCUCUAAAGCAAAAGACAAAACGACACAUCAAAACCCCUCCUUUGAUCCCACGUCCCACUGGUCACCGCUGUAUUCCUCUGCUCCCUUUCCAGUAAAACUCCCUGAAAGGGUUGGCACGCUCCCCUUUCCACUUCUGCCGCUCGCUCUGAGCCCACUGCAGCACACUCUUACCUGGCAGUCGUGGAAACUUCUUGUCUCUGGUGACCUCUGCAUGGCCAAGUCCAGCAUUCGGCCCUCAGGCUUCAUUGUACCAGCCUCUCCAAAGCACCUGAGACCCUGAAAUGCCUUCUGUCCAGGCCCCCCGGGCCUGCGACUCCUGAUUUUCCUCCGGCCCUGCCGCCCACAGUCUCCUUCCUCGCCUCUAAGCAUAGAAGUCCCAGGCCUGUCCUUGGACCACUUCUUGUCUCUUUCUGCAGUCACCGAGGUAACUUUAUCCACGCUCAGGGCUUUAAAUGCCACCUAAGAAACGUCCUCAUUUACAUCUCCGAUCCAGAGCUCCCCGGAAUUCCAGGCCGGCGUAUCCACCGCCUACUCCCGAGCUCCGCUGGGGUGUCACCCUCUUCAGGCGCGGACUCUUGGUUCCCCAGCACCCCCCACCCCCACCCCUCACACAGCCUUCCCCAUCUCAGUCAUGGGAACUCUGGCUUUCCAGACGCUCAGGCCGAGGCCUUUGGAGUUCUCCUUCGCUCCGCUCUCUCUCAAGCCCACAACCGACUGAUCGCCCCACCCUGGUCCAAAUCACCGUCACCUCUCUCGAGGCCGACCCCAAAAGCCUGAGCAGUUUUGCCGCCUCUUUUUCCCCCAACCCCACAAUCUGUUCUCCGCCAACCGCCAGAGUCAUGUUUUCAACACAUAAGCUUGAUUGUGUCAUUUAUUGGCUCAAAACCCACCACUGUCUUCCUGUCUCACUCAGAAUAAAAUCCAGAUUCCUUAUCUAG